AAUGAACGCUGGCGGCGUGGAUUAGGCAUGCAAGUCCAGGGGGAAAAUUCCCUUCGGGGGAUGAGUACACCGGCGAACUGGUUAGUAACAGGUGGGGAACGUGCCCCGAGGCCGGGGAUAACCGUCUGGAAACAGCGGCUAAGACCCGAUUCGGCCCGGCAGUCUUCGGAUAGCCGGCGCCAAAGGCGCUCCUUCGGGAGUGCCGCCGCGGGAUCGCCCCCGCCCCCGACUUAGCUAGAUGGCGAGGUAACGGCUCACCAUGGCUGCGAUCGGUAGCUGGUCUGAGAGGAUGGUCAGCAACACUGGGACUGAGAUACGGCCCAGACUCCUACGGGAGGCAGCAGUCUAGAAGCUUCCGCAAUGGGCGAAAGCCUGACGGAGCGACGCCGCGUGCGCGAAGAAGGCCUCGGUUGUAAG
This 417-nucleotide ribosomal RNA is filed under the name uncultured bacterium. RNAcentral's name for it is "bacterial SSU rRNA". It matches the Rfam family "Bacterial small subunit ribosomal RNA", at positions 28 to 429 of the family's 1533-position model. The record is from RNAcentral.